RNAcentral lists this ribosomal RNA (420 nucleotides) under uncultured Nitrososphaerota archaeon. RNAcentral describes it as "bacterial SSU rRNA". It matches the Rfam family "Archaeal small subunit ribosomal RNA", at positions 459 to 879 of the family's 1478-position model. Lineage: Archaea; Thermoproteati; Nitrososphaerota. The record is from RNAcentral.
CAGCCGCCGCGGUAAAACCAGCACCUCAAGUGGUCAGGAUGAUUAUUGGGCCUAAAGCAUCCGUAGCCGGCUCUGUAAGUUUUCGGUUAAAUCUGUACGCUCAACGUACAGGCUGCCGGGAAUACUGCAGAGCUAGGGAGUGGGAGAGGUAGACGGUACUCGAUAGGAAGGGGUAAAAUCCUUUGAUCUAUUGAUGACCACCUGUGGCGAAGGCGGUCUACCAGAACACGUCCGACGGUGAGGGAUGAAAGCUGGGGGAGCAAACCGGAUUAGAUACUCGGGUAGUCCCAGCUGUAAACUAUGCAAACUCAGUGAUGCAUUGGCUUGUGGCCAAUGCAGUGCUGCAGGGAAGCCGUUAAGUUUGCCGCCUGGGAAGUACGUACGCAAGUAUGAAACUUAAAGGAAUUGGCGGGGGAGCAC